This 745-nucleotide long non-coding RNA is filed under the name Gorilla gorilla gorilla (western lowland gorilla). Its description in RNAcentral is "lncRNA (ENSGGOG00000044632.1)". Lineage: Eukaryota; Metazoa; Chordata; Mammalia; Primates; Hominidae. The record is from RNAcentral.
CGGAGGCAGACUCUGUUAAACUGACAAAGCCCACGUCUCAGGGUCCCUGUCUCGGGGAGUCGGGACUAUUGGGUCACCCCGGGUAGUCGGGACUUUAGACUGAGCUGUCUUGGUCACUCAGGAGGCAGUUGGCAGAGUAUUCGUGGUCAGGGAGGUGACCCAUGGUCAGCAGGGUCAGGCCACCCAGGGACAAAGGGUCCUCCUGCACCGGGCCUUGGAGAAGGACAGACCGGUGGGGACUUGGGGUCAGCGGGGGAGCCUCCGCGGAUGGUGAGUCACCACCUGCCGGCAAUCAGCCAUGACUGCCUUUGCACUGUCCAUGCUCUCAGCCCACCACCUCGUCCCCCUGCCAUUGCAGUGGCUAACACUGGAGACGAAGACCAAGACACCACCGCCUUUCUCCAGUACCUCUCAAAUCAGCACAGACAAGGACAAAGGCCUCAAUCCACAACUGCUGAUGAUGGACCCUGGCCACAUGGGAUGGUCAGACGCGCCUGCCCAGCUAUCUGCAGGCGAAGAGGCUCAGAAGAGGUUUGGGGGCCUGAAGGACAUCUUGCUCCCAUGUGCAUAUGGGCAGGCUAUUUCUGCUCCAUGAGUCAAUUUUGCCAUAUAAAAUACUUAAUUUCAGCCAUUCCAGGGUGCUAUAGGAUGCACAGCUUCCCAUCAGCCCACCUGAACUCCAGCCAUGCCAUUUUAAUACCAGGAAUGAGGUCACCUGCUUUCCUGCCCCUUAGGAGGCCAGAGC